Molecule: long non-coding RNA, 3512 nt
Filed under: Populus trichocarpa (black cottonwood)
Lineage: Eukaryota; Viridiplantae; Streptophyta; Magnoliopsida; Malpighiales; Salicaceae
Description: long non-coding RNA (PTRI_LNC000658)
Source: RNAcentral
UCCCCUGUAGGCAAGAGGCUAAUCUCUCUAAGUAUUUCGGUGUUCGGAUGUGAAUGUGAUGGCCAUCCACUUGUGUGAUUUUGUAUAGCAAUAAUUAGAUAUGAGAGGAACAAAUGAUUGUGCAAGGGACGCUUGGACUGAGAGAUCACCACUUGCUUUAUGUUGAAAAUCUAGCCCUUUUGGUUUGUGCUCCAAGGAGAUCUUGUCCUUUAGGCUAAUUUCAUUUUCAUGACACUAUGCUACGUUUAUGAUCAUAUACCUGCUUCUCCUUUUAAAUUAUUGCUAACCCUAGUAUACAUUAGCUCUUCCAAAACCAGUUUCAGGCAUGUGGAAGCAUCAAAAUAGGCAGCCACAUGUGCAUUAAGAUCAAUCUCAUGCUAGUUCGUUCUCCUGGGUUUUUUUUUUCCUUCUGAGAAAGCUCCUGGGCACACUUGAUUUGCUUGAAGUCAUCAAAAAAUCUCAUUUCCAGAGUCUGGUUCAAUGUCUGCAGCUCGCUCCACUCCUUAAAAAUGUGGUCAGCAAUGAUUCUGAAUCUGUUUCCAGCCCCUUUAAAAGAUGGUCUAGAGUCAAAAGCAAAAUAUUCGAAACAGUGACCAGAACUGAAAUAUUAACGUGAAGUGAGUGGCAUGAUAUAUGUCAAAUUGCUAUUAUCAUGGAAGGCCAGCUUUAUACAUGGACAAGAGGUUAAAACUUCUUGGACCAGAUGUUGAACCAUGUCAAUUGAUCUCCACAUACACAUGAUCGCUAGAAGGUAGAGAUCGUUCGAGUCCGUGUCAUAAUUCAUGUAGGGGAUAGGGAGAGAUACCUUCUAGUCUUGGAGUGGGACCUUUUUUUUUCUUUUUUUUUUUAAUUCCCAACAAAUAAAUUUUAUCGACAACUAAGAUCUAAAUGUUAUAACAUCUUGGUACAUUUAUUUCUUUGAGAAUGUUUUACUUGAACGUCAGAAGAACUUUAAAUAUUGAUCGGUGUAGUGACUGAUAGCUUGCUGCUACUCUUGCACAAGUAAGAUAGUUGAGAUUUGAAUCUCAUCUUUAUUAGUUAUUUACCACUGUUUUUUUUUAAAUAAAAAUUAUAAUUCAUGUUAUAGACUAAAGUAAAUAAAUUAUAGUUAUGAUAAAUAAUAAUUGUAUUAUUGAUCUUGUUCACACCUCAUUGCAUGUUAUACCUUAUGAAAUGUUGACCAAUAACAAUUUAUAAACCUUUUCUCUUCUAACAAAAAAUAUAAAAAUACAUUUACUCCAAUUUUCUUACCCUCACCUAACACACUAUAUAUUGUGACCUAAAUAUACAAAGUCAAUAGUAUAUAAAUAUCUAACUAGAUGGAGAAUGAAAAAAAGAGUUUCAGAAGACUUAUUAUCUAUAUAAUUAGAUGGAUACUAGAAAAAAAAUAAACAAAAUUAAUAUGGUAUAUACAGUUAAAGGGAUCAUAACAUGAAAACAUGUCAAACAUGUCAAACUAUACAACAUAUGUGAACAUUUGCAUUUGUUUCUACUUAAAACAUAAAUUUAUGUUCCUUUUUGUGUAUUAAUUCAUUUAGUGUUGUUUUCCCUUUUUUUUUUACUAUACUAAUUUUUUAAAAAAAUUAUUUAUUAUUAAUAAUACAAUUUACUGUAUUGCAUUGUUUUAACAAUACAACUAAUUAAAUAUGAUAUUUAAAAAAAUGAUUUAUUUUACUUCUUCAAUUUUUGUAAAAAAAAUAUUAUUUUAAAAAAAUCACUAAGUAUGUCAAUUUAUGCAUUACCCUUCUCUUGAUCGUUGAGGCAAUGUAAAACACAUCCUUUGUUACCUAAAAGCUACAAAAUUAGACAUGAUUUGUGUUGCACCCGACAUCGUGAUGACCUUUAAAAAUUCAAUUUUUUUUUAUAAAGAAUAGAUUUAUAGCAUCUUGUUCUUUGAUGAGGAAAUGUCUUAUUUAAGGAGUCGUCACAUAGUAUCAUGGUCACUAGAAACCCUAACCGGUCAAUAGAGGUUCUAUGGUACGAGACUGGUUACAAAAAAGAAAAGAUAUUAUCAUCCCUUAAACGUCCUACCUGGGGUAAGCUGCAUUACUGGUUUCGUCUUAAAUUGCUAAGUAUCUGUCAUACUAUGCUACUGAUAGUCUGUUUAAAAUAUUCCUGAUUUUAGUGUCAGUGAAUAUUCGGAUACGAAUAUUUAUAACUUUGUUGAUAAAUAUUACAUAGCUAAAAAAACAAAUGGUAUUUUUGGCUCUGGCGUCAGUGAAUAAAUCAUAAAAUGAAUUUGAAACAAAACAUACAUAUUUUUUAUCUCUUUUUUUAAAAGAAAAAAAUAAAAUAUAUUAAAUACCGGAUUUACAUUUCACAAUAAAAAAUCAUAAAUCAAAUAUACAGUGAAAUACCCUAAAAAAACAUAAAAGACCUACAAAUAAAUUCAAAAGGGUCCAUAAAUUUUUUGAAAUUUUUUGAUAUAAAAAAGUGGUUAAUAUCAAAACAAAAGAGAAUAAAAUAAAGGGGAUUGGACCAGCUGGGCCUGAGACUCAGCCCAGCCUUUUCUCUUUCUAUUUUUCUUUUUGUGCUGGGUCUAGCUUAGCCCGUAUUUCCUGGGCUAGACCUAGCGGCCCAGCCCGGUUACUGGCCCAAGCCAGUGACCCGGCUGGCCAGCAGGAGGCACGCGCAACGCGUGCGUGCACAGUGAAGGGUUAAUUAAAUUCAAGCUGCACAGUAACUAUGUAAUAAAAAAUGGAAGAGGAGGGGACGAAAAACUUACCUGAUUUGCAGGCGUUGUUGGAGGCGAAAGACUGGGAAUAACACUGGCUUUGGACGAUUCUCUUCUCUUUCUUUCUGUUUUCUCUUUGCUUUCUCCUCUGGUUUCCUCUGUUCUGUGCUCCGUAGUCCUCCCCCGUGUUUGUUCCUUCUCUUUCGUCCCUGUCUUCUUUUUUUCUCACGCGUUCCCCUGUUUCUUUUAGAAGAAACAGGGGAAUAACAGUCCUGCUAUUCUGGUUCGUCCUUCUGUGUUGUUCUCUUGUUCUUUCUGUGUGUUUAUUUCCUGGGCUUUCCUCUCUCUCUCUAAUUUUUUUUUCGUGUUUUCUCCUCUGGUUUUUCCGCUCGUCCGUCCUCUGUCUCUGGUCUUUUGUUUUUGUGUUCUAGUCUCUCUGUUUUCGUUUGCCUACUGUGUUUGUGUUCUGAGGACGAAGGCGAAGCUGGGGUACGCUGGCCUUUUGUUCUCUUCCCUUGUUUCUGUCUCGUUUGCUUCUCCAGUCGUCCCCUCUGUUCUCUGUUUCUUUUUUUCUCUUCGUUCCUGUCUUUUUUUUUCGUCCCCUGACCCGGUUCGUGGCGUUUCUCUGGCUUUUAUAAGGCCAGAGAAUGCCAUGCGGUGGUAACGGCAUGCAUCGUGGGGGGAGGGAUAGUAGCCGUGAGACGUGCCCCAUAACUGAAACAAUUUAGUACUUUUACUGCUGAAAGCCUGAAACGUCUUCACUGCUGAAACAGUUUCUGAUGAAUAGUUUUUCUGAAACGGCUCCGUUUUCCCAAUCCAAGUGGUUAUUUUCGAUUUG